This is a long non-coding RNA of Homo sapiens (human), 1059 nucleotides long. RefSeq annotates it as DIRC3 antisense RNA 1. NCBI's taxonomy places the organism in Eukaryota, Metazoa, Chordata, Mammalia, Primates, Hominidae. The transcript has 6 exons. The record is from RefSeq and is marked validated.
GCCACUGGACAGAGGCAUAACCUUGCGUGGCAGCUGCACGGGAAUUGGAUUUGGCUCAGGUGUUUCAGAUGACUAAGUUGGGAGCAUUUGACAAUUUUAGAUGUGGGAUGAAAAUUGCCUUAUCUAAGACAUAGGGCACCUGCAGAAGUAAAGAGAAACAGAACAAAGGGGACCACUCUUGGUAUAGAAGUUCAUCUCGUCGGGAGCAUCUGUGGUUCUUUUAUAAGCAAUGUACAUUCUACAAUAGAGGCAGACCCAGAAAUAAUUCAGAUAUUGGAGUUAGAAGAUCAGGAUUCUAAAAAAACCAAAAGAUCCUGCCUUACUAUGCACCUAUGGCCCUUCAAAGGCGAGAGUAGAAUCUGCUAUGAUUUAGAAGCAAGCAAUAAAAAGUACACAUCAGGCAAUGGAAAUAAUGAACAAAAUUCUCUCAAGCAAGAUUGGCCCUAUGAACAAGUGAAGAUGGUGGGCGAUUUCAGCUGCUUCAGAAUCACUCUACCUGUCUCAAGGACAAAGGGAAGAAACCCACAAUACUAGAUGUAUUAUAUAUUUUCUAGAGUCCAAAAGUGGUGUGGCUCAGUACAUAAUGUCUGUGGAUCUGAUACUUGAAACAACUUACAUCCCACGGCACUGUUGUUCACCUCAGUGGAUGCGGGACCUCUCACUGCUGGCCGGCCUCCUGAAUUGUUCUGUUUCCAGAGUGUCUUCUGCAAGGCCUUUCCCCACAGGUUGCUGGAGACUUUAUCACUGUUGCAGGAGGCCCAGCGGCUUCGCCCCAGAGGCCACCAGUGCCACCCAGGUAAGGCAGUGCUACUUCUGAAGUGCUGAACAUUGCUGCUUCCGCUGGGCAUUGCAGCUGCACCGCUGCGGCCGUCCAUCUGUACACAUCUGUCUGUCCAGCUGCGCCAUGGAGCCCAAGACGUCAUUCAAAGAUCGCAACACCAAGAGUGCUCUUCCUGGGAGCUGCUACUCCUCAGCCACUGCUCACCAUCCCUCUCCAUUUGAGCUUUCCGAGAAGUUUGAUGAGGCUAUGUGAAGCCAUGGAUGGUGGAGAGAGGUGGA